Molecule: ribosomal RNA, 447 nt
Filed under: uncultured bacterium
Lineage: Bacteria
Description: bacterial SSU rRNA
Rfam family: Bacterial small subunit ribosomal RNA
Source: RNAcentral
AACGAACGCUGGCGGCAGGCUUAACACAUGCAAGUCGAACGCCUAUAGCAAUAUAGGAGUGGCGCACGGGUGAGUAAUACUUGGGAACGUGCCUUUCAGUCUGGGAUAACUGCGGGAAACUGCAGCUAAUACCGGAUAUUCCCCUCGGGGGAAGAUUUAUCGCUGAAAGAUCGGCCCAAGCCAGAUUAGCUAGUUGGUGAGGUAAUGGCUCACCAAGGCUACGAUCGUAGCUGUUCUGAGAGGAAGACCAGCCACACUGGAACUGAGACACGGUCCAGACUCCUACGGGAGGCAGCAGUGGGGAAUAUUGGACAAUGGGCGAAAGCCUGAUCCAGCCAUGCCGCGUGAGUGAUGAAGGCCUUAGGGUUGUAAAGCUCUUUUGCCAGGGAAGAUGAUGACGGUACCUGGAGAAUAAGCACCGGCUAACUUCGUGCCAGCAGCCGCAAG